AGGGCACCACCAGGAGUGGAGCCUGCGGCUUAAUUUGACUCAACACGGGAAAUCUCACCAGGCCCGGACACCGGAAGGAUUGACAGAUUGAAAGCUCUUUCUUGAUUCGGUGGGUGGUGGUGCAUGGCCGUUCUUAGUUGGUGGAGCGAUUUGUCUGGUUAAUUCCGAUAACGAACGAGACUCUGGCCUACUAAAUAGACAUUGGAUCAUUUAUGGCCCAUUGCAGCUUCUUAGAGGGACGGGCGGCUUAUAGCCGCACGAGAAUGAGCAAUAACAGGUCUGUGAUGCCCUUAGAUGUUCUGGGCUGCACGCGCGCUACACUGAAGGAAUCAGCGUGUGUACCCUGUCCGAAAGGACUGGGAAACCCGUUGAACCUCCUUCGUGAUGGGGAUYGGGGAUUGCAAUUAUUCCCCAUGAACGAGGAAUUCCCAGUAGGCGCGAGUCAUAAGCUUGCGUCGAUUACGUCCCUGCCCUUUGUACACACCGCCCGUCGCUACUACCGAUCGAGUGUUUUAGUGA
RNAcentral lists this ribosomal RNA (519 nucleotides) under uncultured eukaryote. RNAcentral describes it as "SSU rRNA". It matches the Rfam family "Eukaryotic small subunit ribosomal RNA", at positions 1172 to 1724 of the family's 1831-position model. The record is from RNAcentral.